AGAGGGCUAGGCCUGCUGCUGGCUGGACAGAAAACUGUGAAAUAGAAGACCCAAGAAGACUGGCAGCUUAUUGUAGGAAUCUGAAUUGGAAAUGAGUCUUUGCAAAGCAAUCACAGACUUGUUUUGAAAGUGAGAGUGUUGGGGAAGGAAGCACUUUAGCAGCAGAAGAUGGAUUUGCUCAAAGCAAAGCAGUAUAAAACUUGGUAUAGCCUGUAAUCCCAGCACUUUGGGAGGCUGAGGCAGGUGCAUCAGGUCAGGAGUUCGAGACCAGCCUGGCCAACAUGGUGAAACCCCAUCUCUACUAAAAACACAAAAAAUAGCUGGGCUUGGUGGUGCGCACCUGUAGUCCCAGCUGCUAGGGAGGCUGAGGCAGGAGAAUCGCUUGAACCCGGGAGUCGGAAGUGGCAGUGAGCUGAGAUCCCACCACUGCACUCCAGCCUGGGUGACAGAGCAAGACUCAGUAUCAAAAAAAAUUUUUUUUUGUAUCAACAGGGUUUGCAGGGAAGACAGUGAAGUAAUGCUACUCCGUUUCCUGGAUCCUCUAUCACUAUAUCAGGAAUGGAAACAGCUUUAGGGGAAGGCUUGCUUUGUGGUAUUAUCAAGAUGACAAUGUUCUAACCCCCCAAGCAGCAGUUUUGCAGUUGGAAAGGACCUCAGCCCUUCUACCCUGAUCCCAGUGGCUUUGCAUUCAGACUAUUAGGCCUGGACAGCCCCAUGGAUACCAUUGCUUGGCCUCUGCCACCUUUCAACAGGGACUUGCAGGAGAUGAAGAACACUCAAAUCCUCACGCGUCAUUCCACAUCCGGGUUCCUCACUUAGACGCACACACUGAAGAACGUCUGCAU
RNAcentral lists this long non-coding RNA (845 nucleotides) under Callithrix jacchus (white-tufted-ear marmoset). RNAcentral's name for it is "lncRNA (ENSCJAG00000051554.2)". The record is from RNAcentral. Lineage: Eukaryota; Metazoa; Chordata; Mammalia; Primates; Cebidae.